AUUGAACGCUGGCGGCAGGCCUAACACAUGCAAGUCGAGCGGAUGAAGGGAGCUUGCUCCUGGAUUCAGCGGCGGACGGGUGAGUAAUGCCUAGGAAUCUGCCUGGUAGUGGGGGAUAACGUCCAGAAACGGGCGCUAAUACCGCAUACGUCCUGAGGGAGAAAGUGGGGGAUCUUCGGACCUCACGCUAUCAGAUGAGCCUAGGUCGGAUUAGCUAGUUGGUGGGGUAAAGGCCUACCAAGGCGACGAUCCGUAACUGGUCUGAGAGGAUGAUCAGACACACUGGAACUGAGACACGGUCCAGACUCCUACGGGAGGCAGCAGUGGGGAAUAUUGGACAAUGGGCGAAAGCCUGAUCCAGCCAUGCCGCGUGUGUGAAGAAGGUCUUCGGAUUGUAAAGCACUUUAAGUUGGGAGGAAGGGCAGUAAGUUAAUACCUUGCUGUUUUGACGUUACCAACAGAAUAAGCACCGGCUACUUCGUG
Molecule: ribosomal RNA, 483 nt
Filed under: uncultured bacterium
Lineage: Bacteria
Description: partial 16S ribosomal RNA
Rfam family: Bacterial small subunit ribosomal RNA
Source: RNAcentral